Molecule: ribosomal RNA, 253 nt
Filed under: uncultured bacterium
Lineage: Bacteria
Description: partial 16S ribosomal RNA
Rfam family: Bacterial small subunit ribosomal RNA
Source: RNAcentral
UACGGAGGGGGCUAGCGUUGUUCGGAAUUACUGGGCGUAAAGCGCGCGUAGGCGGCUUUGUAAGUUAGAGGUGAAAGCCCGGAGCUCAACUUCGGAAUUGCCUUUAAGACUGCAUCGCUUGAAUCAUGGAGAGGUCAGUGGAAUUCCGAGUGUAGAGGUGAAAUUCGUAGAUAUUCGGAAGAACACCAGUGGCGAAGGCGGCUCACUGGACUGGUAUUGACGCUGAGGUGCGAAAGCGUGGGGAUCAAACAGG